This 492-nucleotide ribosomal RNA is filed under the name uncultured bacterium. RNAcentral describes it as "partial 16S ribosomal RNA". It matches the Rfam family "Bacterial small subunit ribosomal RNA", at positions 29 to 507 of the family's 1533-position model. The record is from RNAcentral.
AGUGAACGCUGGCGGUAGGCCUAACACAUGCAAGUCGAACGGCAGCACAGUAAGAGCUUGCUCUUACGGGUGGCGAGUGGCGGACGGGUGAGGAAUACAUCGGAAUCUACUUUUUCGUGGGGGAUAACGUAGGGAAACUUACGCUAAUACCGCAUACGACCUACGGGUGAAAGCAGGGGAUCUUCGUACCUUGCCCGCAUGAAUGAGCCGAGGUCGGAUUAGCUAGUUGGCGGGGUAAAGGCCCACCAAGGCAACGAUCCGUAGCUGGUCUGCGAGGAUGAUCGGCCACACUGGAACUGGGACACGGUCCAGACUCCUACGGGAGGCAGCAGUGGGGAAUAUUGGACAAUGGGCGAAAGCCGGAUGCAGCCAUACCGCGUGGGUGAGGAAGGCCUUCGGGUGGUAAAGCCCUUCUGUUGGGAAAGAAAAGCAGCAGGUUAAAACCCCGCUGUUCUGACGGUACCCAAAGAAAAAGCACCGGCUAACUUCGUG